GUGAGGAAUAUUGGUCAAUGGACGGAAGUCUGAACCAGCCAUGCCGCGUGAAGGAUGAAGGCGUUCUGCGUUGUAAACUUCUUUUAUCAGAGAAGAAACCACUGAUUUCUAUUAGUGUUGACGGUAUCUGAUGAAUAAGCACCGGCUAACUCCGUGCCAGCAGCCGCGGUAAUACGGAGGGUGCAAGCGUUAUCCGGAUUUACUGGGUUUAAAGGGUGUGUAGGCGGGCUAUUAAGUCAGGGGUGAAAUCCCGGGGCUCAACCUCGGAACUGCCUUUGAUACUAUUAGUCUUGAAUUAUGUUGAGGUUGGCGGAAUAUAACAUGUAGCGGUGAAAUGCAUAGAUAUGUUAUAGAACACCGAUUGCGAAGGCAGCUGGCUAACAUAUAUUGACGCUGAGGCACGAAAGCGUGGGUAGCGAACAGGAUUAGAUACCCGGGUAGUCC
RNAcentral lists this ribosomal RNA (444 nucleotides) under uncultured bacterium. Its description in RNAcentral is "partial 16S ribosomal RNA". It matches the Rfam family "Bacterial small subunit ribosomal RNA", at positions 354 to 796 of the family's 1533-position model. The record is from RNAcentral.